GGAGUUAGCCGGUGCUUCUUCUGUGAGUGAUGUCCUUCCUGCCGGCUAUUAACCCGCAGGCCUUCUUCCUCACUGAAAGUGCUUUACAACCCGAAGGCCUUCUUCACACACGCGGCAUGGCUGGAUCAGGGUUGCCCCCAUUGUCCAAUAUUCCCCACUGCUGCCUCCCGUAGGAGUCUGGGCCGUGUCUCAGUCCCAGUGUGGCUGAUCAUCCUCUCAGACCAGCUACGGAUCGUCGCCUUGGUGAGCCGUUACCUCACCAACCAGCUAAUCCGACAUAGGCUCAUCCGAUAGCGCGAGGCCCGAAGGUCCCCCGCUUUCCCCCGUAGGGCGUAUGCGGUAUUAGCCUGGGUUUCCCCAGGUUAUCCCCCACUACCGGGCAGAUUCCUAUGCAUUACUCACCCGUCCGCCGCUCGCCACCAGGGAGCAAGCUCCCCGUGCUGCCGCUCGACUUGCAUGUGUUAGGCCUGCCGCCAGCGUUCAAUCUGAACCAGAUCAAACUCUGA
RNAcentral lists this ribosomal RNA (506 nucleotides) under uncultured bacterium. Its description in RNAcentral is "partial 16S ribosomal RNA". The record is from RNAcentral.